RNAcentral lists this ribosomal RNA (253 nucleotides) under uncultured bacterium. Its description in RNAcentral is "partial 16S ribosomal RNA". It matches the Rfam family "Bacterial small subunit ribosomal RNA", at positions 524 to 776 of the family's 1533-position model. The record is from RNAcentral.
UACGAAGGGGGCUAGCGUUGCUCGGAAUUACUGGGCGUAAAGGGUGCGUAGGCGGGUUUUUAAGUCGGGGGUGAAAUCCUGGAGCUCAACUCCAGAACUGCCUUUGAUACUGAGGAUCUUGAGUUCGGGAGAGGUGAGUGGAACUGCGAGUGUAGAGGUGAAAUUCGUAGAUAUUCGCAAGAACACCAGUGGCGAAGGCGGCUCACUGGCCCGAUACUGACGCUGAGGCACGAAAGCGUGGGGAGCAAACAGG